This 1134-nucleotide long non-coding RNA is filed under the name Equus asinus (donkey). RNAcentral's name for it is "lncRNA (ENSEASG00005031018.1)". Lineage: Eukaryota; Metazoa; Chordata; Mammalia; Perissodactyla; Equidae. The record is from RNAcentral.
UAAAAACUCAUUGGAUGCAUUUAACAGCAGACAGGACGCAGCAGAAGUCUAGCUGGUGAACCAGAAGACAUGUGAAUAGAAAGAACCAUAUUGAACAACAGAUAGAAGAAAGAAUGGACAAAGCAUAAGAGACAUGUAGAAUGUAGACAAAGCAUCUAACAUUCGUGUAAUUGGUAUCCCAGAAAGCAAGAAAGUGAAGAAUGAGAAAGAAGAAAUACAUAUUGUCAAAGUCCUUACCAAUACCAGCAGAAGAUAUAUUACACUUGGGUGUUCACACCCUCGUCAUUACAUUUACUGAUUACGUGCAACAUUGGGCAAAUUCUAUACCUCCUCUGAUCUUCCUUUUUCUUUGCCUGUAAAAUUGAACCAAUAAUAUUAAUUCCUCAGAACUUUCAUAGUAUCAUCCAUAUAUGAUGAAAGUACAUAAGGACAGAAAUUACUUGCAUCUCCACCAAACAAAAAUCUAUCAGCUAACCCCGCCCCAACAGAGCUGCAACUUAGCCCCAUCAAUGGAGAGCCAGUCUAAGGAGCACGCUGAGCGCCUCACUGAAGAGCACCCAGGCCUCGGGGUGCUUGCCAUUGCCAAGUUCUGAGCAAUUCUUCUCCAGCACGCUCUACCCUGGCCUGGGGCAAGUCCUCUCUUGUCCCUCUGCCUAGCCAGGUCCCUGCUCUAUCCAGCCUGUUUGAGACCCUCAUUAGCCCUUCUCUCUUUUAGAAACCUUCCAUCCAAACUGGAUGAACAGCUAUUUCAGCAACUCCCUAUGGCUUCGUCUCUUCGUUCACGGGAUGCCAUGUGGCAGGAACGUGGAGACGCUGAGCAUCAGCCAUGGAUCACGAUGCUCUCUGAAUGGGAAGGUGGCCGAGGGGCUCCAACAGCUCGUCACCAUGAGCCAUUCCAUUAUAGGCACUGUGUUGAAGCCCCAGCCACCGAGACCUGAGAGGUCCUAUUUUACUCUGGGUCAUGGGCAGAGAGGAGAAACAGCUGGAAAGAUAAAGCCAGAACUAGGAAAAUGGCCAUAGAAGACCACGGUGAAACUCAUCAAAUAGAACACUUAAAAUAUGUGUAUUUCAUGUUAUGCUAAUUAUUCUGGAUUAACCUGAAUUUUAAAAAUUAAAUUUGAAAAAGGAAACAAA